CAGUCGCCACGGGAAUACGUAGGGUGCGAGCGUUAAUCGGAAUUACUGGGUGUAAAGCGUGCGCAGGCGGUUGUGUAAGACAGGUGUGAAAUCCCCGGGCUUAACCUGGGAACUGCGCUUGUGACUGCACAGCUAGAGUAUGGCAGAGGGGGGUGGAAUUCCACGUGUAGCAGUGAAAUGCGUAGAGAUGUGGAGGAACACCGAUGGCGAAGGCAGCCCCCUGGGCCAAUACUGACGCUCAUGCACGAAAGCGUGGGGAGCAAACAGGAUUAGAUACCCCCGUAGUCCCUGUCUCUUAUAC
This 301-nucleotide ribosomal RNA is filed under the name uncultured bacterium. RNAcentral's name for it is "partial 16S ribosomal RNA". It matches the Rfam family "Bacterial small subunit ribosomal RNA", at positions 509 to 807 of the family's 1533-position model. The record is from RNAcentral.